RNAcentral lists this ribosomal RNA (2335 nucleotides) under Salmonella enterica. RNAcentral describes it as "partial 23S ribosomal RNA". It matches the Rfam family "Bacterial large subunit ribosomal RNA", at positions 711 to 2925 of the family's 2925-position model. Lineage: Bacteria; Pseudomonadati; Pseudomonadota; Gammaproteobacteria; Enterobacterales; Enterobacteriaceae. The record is from RNAcentral. RNAcentral also lists the same sequence under 1 other name.
AGACCCGAAACCCGGUGAUCUAGCCAUGGGCAGGUUGAAGGUUGGGUAACACUAACUGGAGGACCGAACCGACUAAUGUUGAAAAAUUAGCGGAUGACCUGUGGCUGGGGGUGAAAGGCCAAUCAAACCGGGAGAUAGCUGGUUCUCCCCGAAAGCUAUUUAGGUAGCGCCUCGUGAAUUCAUCUCCGGGGGUAGAGCACUGUUUCGGCUAGGGGGCCAUCCCGGCUUACCAACCCGAUGCAAACUGCGAAUACCGGAGAAUGUUAUCACGGGAGACACACGGCGGGUGCUAACGUCCGUCGUGAAGAGGGAAACAACCCAGACCGCCAGCUAAGGUCCCAAAGUCAUGGUUAAGUGGGAAACGAUGUGGGAAGGCCCAGACAGCCAGGAUGUUGGCUUAGAAGCAGCCAUCAUUUAAAGAAAGCGUAAUAGCUCACUGGUCGAGUCGGCCUGCGCGGAAGAUGUAACGGGGCUAAACCAUGCACCGAAGCUGCGGCAGCGAACGUAUCACCCAAGACAACUUUACGGAGUUGACGAUUGACGGAGCGAAGCGACGUCAAAGCGUUCAUUAAAGUCGAGUUGGCUUAGGGAUACGUUCGUUGGGUAGGGGAGCGUUCUGUAAGCCUGUGAAGGUGUGUCGUGAGGCAUGCUGGAGGUAUCAGAAGUGCGAAUGCUGACAUAAGUAACGAUAAAGCGGGUGAAAAGCCCGCUCGCCGGAAGACCAAGGGUUCCUGUCCAACGUUAAUCGGGGCAGGGUGAGUCGACCCCUAAGGCGAGGCCGAAAGGCGUAGUCGAUGGGAAACGGGUUAAUAUUCCCGUACUUGGUGUUACUGCGAAGGGGGGACGGAGAAGGCUAUGUUGGCCGGGCGACGGUUGUCCCGGUUUAAGCGUGUAGGUGUGUGUUCCAGGUAAAUCCGGUUCACUUUAACACUGAGGCGUGACGACGAGGCACUACGGUGCUGAAGCAACAAAUGCCCUGCUUCCAGGAAAAGCCUCUAAGCAUCAGGUAACAUCAAAUCGUACCCCAAACCGACACAGGUGGUCAGGUAGAGAAUACCAAGGCGCUUGAGAGAACUCGGGUGAAGGAACUAGGCAAAAUGGUGCCGUAACUUCGGGAGAAGGCACGCUGACACGUAGGUGAAGUGAUUUACUCAUGGAGCUGAAGUCAGUCGAAGAUACCAGCUGGCUGCAACUGUUUAUUAAAAACACAGCACUGUGCAAACACGAAAGUGGACGUAUACGGUGUGACGCCUGCCCGGUGCCGGAAGGUUAAUUGAUGGGGUCAGCGCAAGCGAAGCUCCUGAUCGAAGCCCCGGUAAACGGCGGCCGUAACUAUAACGGUCCUAAGGUAGCGAAAUUCCUUGUCGGGUAAGUUCCGACCUGCACGAAUGGCGUAAUGAUGGCCAGGCUGUCUCCACCCGAGACUCAGUGAAAUUGAACUCGCUGUGAAGAUGCAGUGUACCCGCGGCAAGACGGAAAGACCCCGUGAACCUUUACUAUAGCUUGACACUGAACAUUGAGCCUUGAUGUGUAGGAUAGGUGGGAGGCUUUGAAGUGUGGACGCCAGUCUGCAUGGAGCCGACCUUGAAAUACCACCCUUUAAUGUUUGAUGUUCUAACGUGGACCCGUAAUCCGGGUUGCGGACAGUGUCUGGUGGGUAGUUUGACUGGGGCGGUCUCCUCCUAAAGAGUAACGGAGGAGCACGAAGGUUGGCUAAUCCUGGUCGGACAUCAGGAGGUUAGUGCAAUGGCAUAAGCCAGCUUGACUGCGAGCGUGACGGCGCGAGCAGGUGCGAAAGCAGGUCAUAGUGAUCCGGUGGUUCUGAAUGGAAGGGCCAUCGCUCAACGGAUAAAAGGUACUCCGGGGAUAACAGGCUGAUACCGCCCAAGAGUUCAUAUCGACGGCGGUGUUUGGCACCUCGAUGUCGGCUCAUCACAUCCUGGGGCUGAAGUAGGUCCCAAGGGUAUGGCUGUUCGCCAUUUAAAGUGGUACGCGAGCUGGGUUUAGAACGUCGUGAGACAGUUCGGUCCCUAUCUGCCGUGGGCGCUGGAGAACUGAGGGGGGCUGCUCCUAGUACGAGAGGACCGGAGUGGACGCAUCACUGGUGUUCGGGUUGUCAUGCCAAUGGCACUGCCCGGUAGCUAAAUGCGGAAGAGAUAAGUGCUGAAAGCAUCUAAGCACGAAACUUGCCCCGAGAUGAGUUCUCCCUGAGACUUAGAGUCUCCUGAAGGAACGUUGAAGACGACGACGUUGAUAGGCCGGGUGUGUAAGCGCAGCGAUGCGUUGAGCUAACCGGUACUAAUGAACCGUGAGGCUUAACCUUACAACGCCGAAG